RNAcentral lists this ribosomal RNA (261 nucleotides) under Salmonella enterica subsp. enterica serovar Mbandaka. RNAcentral describes it as "partial 23S ribosomal RNA". It matches the Rfam family "Bacterial large subunit ribosomal RNA", at positions 528 to 796 of the family's 2925-position model. The record is from RNAcentral. Lineage: Bacteria; Pseudomonadati; Pseudomonadota; Gammaproteobacteria; Enterobacterales; Enterobacteriaceae. RNAcentral also lists the same sequence under 1 other name.
GGCGAGGGGAGUGAAAAAGAACCUGAAACCGUGUACGUACAAGCAGUGGGAGCACCCUGUGUGACUGCGUACCUUUUGUAUAAUGGGUCAGCGACUUAUAUUCUGUAGCAAGGUUAACCGAAUAGGGGAGCCGGAGGGAAACCGAGUCUUAACCGGGCGUUAAGUUGCAGGGUAUAGACCCGAAACCCGGUGAUCUAGCCAUGGGCAGGUUGAAGGUUGGGUAACACUAACUGGAGGACCGAACCGACUAAUGUUGAAAAA